Molecule: long non-coding RNA, 1286 nt
Filed under: Corvus moneduloides (New Caledonian crow)
Lineage: Eukaryota; Metazoa; Chordata; Aves; Passeriformes; Corvidae
Description: lncRNA (ENSCMUG00000016922.1)
Source: RNAcentral
GCCUGGUUCUGCACCACAUCUGCUGUGGAGAGCCGUGGUGACUGCGCUGGUGGGCUCAACCCUGGGGAAUCUGCUGCUUUGGUUUUGUCCCUGACUAUCCUGGGAGAUGGGCAACAGCUUCUGGGUGCAGGCACUGCCAGCAGCCCAGGGGAGGAGGAAGAGGAAGAAGAGGAAAAAGAUGCUGAGGAAUGGCCACGACAGCAAGGGCUGCCCCAGGCACAAUGCUCUUCAAGGUUUCUCAAGAGGCUUCAGCUGCUCUUUCAAGGCACAAGCACCCCAGAGCCAGGGCGGCACGGAGCUGGUCCCAGCAGAGCCCACACACUGGGGUUGCUUGGUGUGACCACAGCCACGCUCUGGUUUCUUCAUUUGCAUGGCUUUACUCCCACGAGGCCAAUAUCCCAUCCAGGACGGCACAGACAAGCUGCAAAGCCCUGCUCAGCAGUGGUGACUCACUCGAGUGAGAUGGGAAACUCAUUGCUCCUGCCAGCCCAGAUGCAAAUUGUUACCAGGCAGGGACCAGCAGGGAAGAUGUUCCUGUGGAGGGAAGGAAGCUGGAGGAGGACUCCACUCGGCUGGCUUGUCACUGCCCUUCAUUCGUCCCCAUCCUUACACUGCACAGUGAAGGUAUGUCAUCCUCUUUGUCACUGUGCACUGCUUGUGUCACCCAGCCAGUAUCAAGAACUUCUCUCUGCCAAUGUGCUUCUUAGCCACAGUCCUAGGUGUGCAUCCUGCUGGGCUUGGGGUCUCUGUCACCUCAGUACCCUGGUGUGGGAAGAGCUGUAGGGCACUGUUCUGGCAUGUGGGGCGGGUGCUGGAGUCCCCUUCCCACCACACUCCCCCAGCACCUCCAUGCCUCAGGUGAGCAGGCCUUGCUGUUAUUGCUUUUACAUCCUUCAGUCACUGUAAUUUGCUCUAGUGAACCCCUAAAACCCCACUGCUGAGCUGCUCUUGAGCUGGGAGCACUGGAAGUACAACAGUGCAUCAAGGGCUCUCCCUGGUAACCAUGCCACAGCCUCAACUUCCCCACACUCUUAAAUUAACUACAGUUGAAGCAGUCACAAGUCUUAAAUCCAGUCUCCUUGUCUGUAAUGUGACCUCUUACCUUCCUCUGAUCCCCCCAAUUAUAAGUGCUUGUUUUUGCUGUGGACAUCCACUCGUGUCUAAUUAGUGGAUUGUUUCUGUCAAGGACAGUAGCAGCCUCGACAGUGAGCCGUCAUUUAAGUAGUUUGCAUUUGUCUGCAGCAUUGGUGCGUUCAUAUACUCCUGCUCCUAAUUAACUGCAUCUG